Molecule: unclassified non-coding RNA, 153 nt
Filed under: uncultured fungus
Lineage: Eukaryota; Fungi
Description: sequence contains ITS1, 5.8S rRNA gene
Source: RNAcentral
CCGAGUGCGGGCCCUCGCGCCCAACCUCCCAACCCUUUGUCGAUUCAUAUCUGUUGCCUCGGGGGGCGACCCGGACGUCGCGCCGGGAGUCCCCCAGAGGUCCAACCCAACACACUGCGUCUUUGCGUCGGAGUAUUGAAUAACAAUCAAUCA